Molecule: ribosomal RNA, 253 nt
Filed under: uncultured bacterium
Lineage: Bacteria
Description: partial 16S ribosomal RNA
Rfam family: Archaeal small subunit ribosomal RNA
Source: RNAcentral
UACCAGCACCCCGAGUGGUCGGGAUGAUUAUUGGGCCUAAAGCAUCCGUAGCCGGCCUUACAAGUCCUCCGUUAAAUCCAGCUGCUUAACAGAUGGGCUGCGGAGGAUACUAUAAGACUAGGAGGCAGGAGAGGCAAGCGGUACUCAGUGGGUAGGGGUAAAAUCCGUUGAUCCAUUGAAGACCACCAGUGGCGAAGGCGGCUUGCCAGAAUGCGCUCGACGGUGAGGGAUGAAAGCUGGGGGAGCAAACCGG